AUUUCAAUGCUACACUCACGGUGGAUUUAGGGGGAGAUAUUAUGAGGCUGGUGUCAUUAGGCGAUAGCUAUUGAAUCAUUCAAUCCGAAUUCGUCGUUCUUUUUUCCUUGGCAAAUUUCAUUCUCUCUCAGGUCAUUUCCAUGGUUUUCAGAUCGCCUUUAGAGCUUUAUCCCUCUCAUUUCUUCCUGCCAAACUUUGCUGAUCGCCCUUUGCUCUUGGCGAGCAGUGCGCCCAGCACCAGGUCUCCCGAAGACUUGUCAAUGUUUCAGCUACCGACCCUAAACUUCUCUCCAGAGCAAGUGGCGAGCGUCUGCGAGACGCUGGAGGAGACCGGGGACAUCGAGCGGCUGGGUCGCUUCCUAUGGUCGCUUCCAGUGGCGCCGGGUGCUUGCGAGGCGAUCAACAAGCAUGAAUCCAUCCUUCGUGCCCGGGCUGUGGUUGCCUUCCACACAGGCAAUUUUCGCGAUCUCUACCACAUUUUGGAGAACCACAAGUUUACCAAGGACUCGCAUGGUAAAUUACAAGCGAUGUGGCUAGAGGCUCACUAUCAGGAGGCCGAGAAACUACGCGGGCGUCCCCUAGGACCGGUUGAUAAGUACAGGGUGCGAAAGAAGUUUCCCCUGCCUAGAACCAUCUGGGACGGUGAGCAGAAGACGCAUUGUUUCAAAGAGCGAACGCGGAGUCUGUUGCGGGAGUGGUACCUUCAGGACCCCUAUCCAAACCCCAGCAAGAAAAGGGAACUGGCUCAAGCCACUGGACUCACUCCUACACAGGUCGGAAAUUGGUUUAAAAACCGGAGACAACGAGACAGGGCAGCGGCAGCAAAAAACAGGCUCCAGCAUCAAGCAAUAGGGCAGAAUGGCAUGCGGUCCCUUUCAGAAUCCGGCUGCACUCCACGCAGUUCGGCGGAGUCGCCAUCAACUGCAGCUAGUCCAACGACCAGUGUUUCGAGUAUGACAGAGCGAGUCGACACGGGCACGUCGAUUCUUUCAGUAACAUCAAGUGACUCGGAAUGCGACGUAUGAUACGCAAACAUAGAAAUAUAUACAGGAAAAUGGACCUGAAUAAACUUUAUUAAUUAUCGGGGAAGAUGAAAAAGGACCAAUUGAUAUUACUAUUAUAAAAGGAAAAAAAAAAAAAACAUAAAAGCACGUGUUUUUCAAGCGCUUUCAAUGGACCCCACACCUUUCCCCCACCCCAUCACUUGCAUGAUAUAUAUAUAUAACUAAAUAUAUUUUUUUUCUUUUAUUUUUUUUGUAUAUGGGGAAAUGCCCCACGUUUAUUAUGUCUACCAGGACCACCGUGAAGAGGGAAUUACCAGAAACCGGUGUCCAUCGCCUUUUUUUCUGUUUUAGUCCGAGUGACGACGAGCAGCCAGGAUGCAAUCCUCUUUUCCUUUAUGUUCAUCAGACAAUCAUUUGAGUCUUCUCAAUGAGCGUCAGUUCCCUCUGACCCGGAUUGAAAGCUUGGAGCCUCGGCAUAGCCUGUCAGUGCAACCACUCUUGGCAAGACUGGGCCUUUCCCCUCCCGAAACAGUCCCCUUCUCACAAAUAAGCACAGGACAAGACCUUGAGCUGCUCCUGAAGCUGCUCCUGCUCCUGACAUAGGCCUUCUCACAUCUCUAAGUUAAGAUGUGCAGCUUUGGUUGAGCCUCUCUCCACUUCAUGCCCUCACCGGGAGAUGAUGCUGAACAAGCACACUGUGAACACAUCAAUAAUUAAUCGUAUGUAAGUCAAAUGAUGUUUGAACACUGAACUGGAUUUCCAUUUGUGCUAGAUCACAGAGUUAGAUGGCUCGGAAUGUAAUGGAAUCCGGACUCCCUUGUUAAAUUUUUACCACUGAUACCCUGAAUUUCUAAGGACCGAAUGUAAAAAUCGAAGGGCUUCGCUGGAGCGCAGCCUUUCUAAGUUAAACUACAGUGUAAGAGUUGGCGAACCAUUCUAAUAAUGGACAGUAAAACACACUCUUAACUACAGGACCGUUUCUUGGAUUCCCGGCAGGGCUUUAAAAGAUUGCAUUGCACUCUCUCUUUUUUUAAAAAUAAAUUAAAAAAGUUAUUUAAAAGGAUAGUUCACCCAAAAAUGAAAAUUCUAUCAUCAUUUACUCACCCUCAAGUUGUUCCAAACCAGCAUGAAUUUCUUUCUUCUGCUGAACACAAAAGAAGACAUUUUUGAAAAAUGUCGAAAACUAGUUGGUAGGCCACAUUGACUUCCAUUGUUUGUUUGUUUUUUGUUUUUUUUCCGUACUAUGGAAGUCAGUUAAAAUAUUUUCAAAAUAUUUGUGUGUGUGUGUUCAGCAGAAGAAAGAAAUUCAUACAGGUUUG
Molecule: RNA transcript, 2323 nt
Organism: Megalobrama amblycephala (Wuchang bream)
Lineage: Eukaryota; Metazoa; Chordata; Actinopteri; Cypriniformes; Xenocyprididae
Gene: six3a
Gene name: SIX homeobox 3a
Exons: 5
Source: RefSeq, a predicted model, not a curated record